This 256-nucleotide ribosomal RNA is filed under the name uncultured bacterium. Its description in RNAcentral is "partial 16S ribosomal RNA". It matches the Rfam family "Bacterial small subunit ribosomal RNA", at positions 524 to 776 of the family's 1533-position model. The record is from RNAcentral.
UACGUAGGGUGCAAGCGUUGUCCGGAAUUAUUGGGCGUAAAGAGCUCGUAGGCGGUUUGUUGCGUCGGCUGUGAAAUCCCGAGGCUCAACCUCGGGUCUGCAGUCGAUACGAGCAAACUAGAGUGUUGCAGGGGAGACUGGAAUUCCUGGUGUAGCGGUGAAAUGCGCAGAUAUCAGGAGGAACACCGGUGGCGAAGGCGGGUCUCUGGGCAACAACUGACGCUGGAGGAGCGAAAGCCGUUGGGGAGCGAACAGG